This 69-nucleotide transfer RNA is filed under the name Acomys cahirinus (Egyptian spiny mouse). Its description in RNAcentral is "tRNA-Ile". It matches the Rfam family "tRNA". From Rfam's summary of the family: Transfer RNA (tRNA) molecules are approximately 80 nucleotides in length. The record is from RNAcentral. Lineage: Eukaryota; Metazoa; Chordata; Mammalia; Rodentia; Muridae.
AGAAAUAUGUCUGAUAAAAGAAUUACUUUGAUAGAGUAAAUCAUAAAGGUUCAAACCCUUUUAUUUCUA